Molecule: ribosomal RNA, 1543 nt
Filed under: Escherichia coli O104:H4 str. 2011C-3493
Lineage: Bacteria; Pseudomonadati; Pseudomonadota; Gammaproteobacteria; Enterobacterales; Enterobacteriaceae
Description: 16S ribosomal RNA
Rfam family: Bacterial small subunit ribosomal RNA
Source: RNAcentral
AAAUUGAAGAGUUUGAUCAUGGCUCAGAUUGAACGCUGGCGGCAGGCCUAAACACAUGCAAGUCGAACGGUAACAGGAAACAGCUUGCUGUUUCGCUGACGAGUGGCGGACGGGUGAGUAAUGUCUGGGAAACUGCCUGAUGGAGGGGGAUAACUACUGGAAACGGUAGCUAAUACCGCAUAACGUCGCAAGACCAAAGAGGGGGACCUUCGGGCCUCUUGCCAUCGGAUGUGCCCAGAUGGGAUUAGCUUGUUGGUGGGGUAACGGCUCACCAAGGCGACGAUCCCUAGCUGGUCUGAGAGGAUGACCAGCCACACUGGAACUGAGACACGGUCCAGACUCCUACGGGAGGCAGCAGUGGGGAAUAUUGCACAAUGGGCGCAAGCCUGAUGCAGCCAUGCCGCGUGUAUGAAGAAGGCCUUCGGGUUGUAAAGUACUUUCAGCGGGGAGGAAGGGAGUAAAGUUAAUACCUUUGCUCAUUGACGUUACCCGCAGAAGAAGCACCGGCUAACUCCGUGCCAGCAGCCGCGGUAAUACGGAGGGUGCAAGCGUUAAUCGGAAUUACUGGGCGUAAAGCGCACGCAGGCGGUUUGUUAAGUCAGAUGUGAAAUCCCCGGGCUCAACCUGGGAACUGCAUCUGAUACUGGCAAGCUUGAGUCUCGUAGAGGGGGGUAGAAUUCCAGGUGUAGCGGUGAAAUGCGUAGAGAUCUGGAGGAAUACCGGUGGCGAAGGCGGCCCCCUGGACGAAGACUGACGCUCAGGUGCGAAAGCGUGGGGAGCAAACAGGAUUAGAUACCCUGGUAGUCCACGCCGUAAACGAUGUCGACUUGGAGGUUGUGCCCUUGAGGCGUGGCUUCCGGAGCUAACGCGUUAAGUCGACCGCCUGGGGAGUACGGCCGCAAGGUUAAAACUCAAAUGAAUUGACGGGGGCCCGCACAAGCGGUGGAGCAUGUGGUUUAAUUCGAUGCAACGCGAAGAACCUUACCUGGUCUUGACAUCCACGGAAGUUUUCAGAGAUGAGAAUGUGCCUUCGGGAACCGUGAGACAGGUGCUGCAUGGCUGUCGUCAGCUCGUGUUGUGAAAUGUUGGGUUAAGUCCCGCAACGAGCGCAACCCUUAUCCUUUGUUGCCAGCGGUCCGGCCGGGAACUCAAAGGAGACUGCCAGUGAUAAACUGGAGGAAGGUGGGGAUGACGUCAAGUCAUCAUGGCCCUUACGACCAGGGCUACACACGUGCUACAAUGGCGCAUACAAAGAGAAGCGACCUCGCGAGAGCAAGCGGACCUCAUAAAGUGCGUCGUAGUCCGGAUUGGAGUCUGCAACUCGACUCCAUGAAGUCGGAAUCGCUAGUAAUCGUGGAUCAGAAUGCCACGGUGAAUACGUUCCCGGGCCUUGUACACACCGCCCGUCACACCAUGGGAGUGGGUUGCAAAAGAAGUAGGUAGCUUAACCUUCGGGAGGGCGCUUACCACUUUGUGAUUCAUGACUGGGGUGAAGUCGUAACAAGGUAACCGUAGGGGAACCUGCGGUUGGAUCACCUCCUUA